This 649-nucleotide ribosomal RNA is filed under the name Salmonella enterica subsp. enterica serovar Dublin. Its description in RNAcentral is "partial 23S ribosomal RNA". It matches the Rfam family "Bacterial large subunit ribosomal RNA", at positions 711 to 1356 of the family's 2925-position model. Lineage: Bacteria; Pseudomonadati; Pseudomonadota; Gammaproteobacteria; Enterobacterales; Enterobacteriaceae. The record is from RNAcentral.
AGACCCGAAACCCGGUGAUCUAGCCAUGGGCAGGUUGAAGGUUGGGUAACACUAACUGGAGGACCGAACCGACUAAUGUUGAAAAAUUAGCGGAUGACCUGUGGCUGGGGGUGAAAGGCCAAUCAAACCGGGAGAUAGCUGGUUCUCCCCGAAAGCUAUUUAGGUAGCGCCUCGUGAAUUCAUCUCCGGGGGUAGAGCACUGUUUCGGCUAGGGGGCCAUCCCGGCUUACCAACCCGAUGCAAACUGCGAAUACCGGAGAAUGUUAUCACGGGAGACACACGGCGGGUGCUAACGUCCGUCGUGAAGAGGGAAACAACCCAGACCGCCAGCUAAGGUCCCAAAGUCAUGGUUAAGUGGGAAACGAUGUGGGAAGGCCCAGACAGCCAGGAUGUUGGCUUAGAAGCAGCCAUCAUUUAAAGAAAGCGUAAUAGCUCACUGGUCGAGUCGGCCUGCGCGGAAGAUGUAACGGGGCUAAACCAUGCACCGAAGCUGCGGCAGCGACGCUUAUGCGUUGUUGGGUAGGGGAGCGUUCUGUAAGCCUGUGAAGGUGGCCUGUGAGGGUUGCUGGAGGUAUCAGAAGUGCGAAUGCUGACAUAAGUAACGAUAAAGCGGGUGAAAAGCCCGCUCGCCGGAAGACCAAGGGUUCCU